GACGAACGCUGGCGGCGUGCUUAACACAUGCAAGUCGAACGGAAAGGCCCUGCUUUUGUGGGGUGCUCGAGUGGCGAACGGGUGAGUAACACGUGAGUAACCUGCCCUUGACUUUGGGAUAACUUCAGGAAACUGGGGCUAAUACCGGAUAGGAGCUCCUGCUGCAUGUUGGGGGUUGGAAAGUUUCGGCGGUUGGGGAUGGAAUCGCGGCUUAUCAGCUUGUUGGUGGGGUAGUGGCUUACCAAGGCUUUGACGGGUAGCCGGCCUGAGAGGGUGACCGGCCACAUUGGGACUGAGAUACGGCCCAGACUCCUACGGGAGGCAGCAGUGGGGAAUAUUGCACAAUGGGCGGAAGCCUGAUGCAGCAACGCCGCGUGCGGGAUGACGGCCUUCGGGUUGUAAACCGCUUUCGCCUGUGACGAAGCGUGAGUGACGGUAAUGGGUAAAGAAGCACCGGCUAACUACGUG
This 468-nucleotide ribosomal RNA is filed under the name uncultured bacterium. Its description in RNAcentral is "partial 16S ribosomal RNA". It matches the Rfam family "Bacterial small subunit ribosomal RNA", at positions 28 to 507 of the family's 1533-position model. The record is from RNAcentral.